Long non-coding RNA from Crotalus tigris (Tiger rattlesnake), 495 nucleotides. RefSeq lists it as uncharacterized. NCBI's taxonomy places the organism in Eukaryota, Metazoa, Chordata, Lepidosauria, Squamata, Viperidae. The transcript is spliced from 3 exons. The record is from RefSeq and is a predicted model, not a curated record.
GUCAGGCAGGUGUUUCACAACCAUCUUUACUUCCUGGAGAUUAUUACUGAAUGGGGCAUGCUACUCAGAGAACCAGAACGUAACAAGUAAAAGGAUGCUGGCUGGGGAAGUCUGGAAGCUGAAACCCACAUAUCUUCAAUCUGAUAAGGUUGAGAAACACUGCUCCGGUGCAUCUGGUGAAAGUGACAAAAUCUUCCCGAUUACAUCUACCCCUCCUAUCAGAUCUGGCAAAAGGGACACAUAGCAGGUGUGGUUUAAUGGGACCUUAAAGAUGAGUCUUUUUUGCCAGGGCAUCUGCCCUCUGGAACAGCAGCCCAUCUGAAAGAAGGUUAGUUCCAAUCUGUGACUUUCAAGAGAGUCCUUCAAACUUGGUUACCUGGGGAUCCUCUGAUAAAAAAUCCUCUGUUUGCAUUACAGGUAAUAUCUUCCUUCUCUUAAGAAGAGACUGGACAACAUUUGUCUGAAAUGGUAUAGGGCAGACAUGUCAAACUCGCA